AGAGUUUGAUCAUGGCUCAAGAACGAACGCUGGCGGCAGGCUUAACACAUGCAAGUCGAACGGUUGUAGCAAUACAGCAGUGGCGCACGGGUGAGUAACGCGUGGAUAUCUGCCUUUGGUUCGGAAUAACUCCGGGAAACUGGAGCUAAUACCGGAUGGUUCCUGCGGGAUAAAGAUUUAUCGCCAAAAGAUGAGUCCGCGUACGAUUAGCUAGUUGGUGAGGUAAUGGCUCACCAAGGCGACGAUCGUUAGCUGGUCUGAGAGGACGAUCAGCCACACUGGGACUGAGACACGGCCCAGACUCCUACGGGAGGCAGCAGUGGGGAAUAUUGAACAAUGGGGGCAACCCUGAUCCAGCCAUGCCGCGUGAGUGAUGAAGGCCUUCGGGUUGUAAAGCUCUUUUGGCGGGGACGAUGAUGACGGUACCCGCAGAAUAAGCCCCGGCUAACUUCGUG
Molecule: ribosomal RNA, 455 nt
Filed under: uncultured bacterium
Lineage: Bacteria
Description: bacterial SSU rRNA
Rfam family: Bacterial small subunit ribosomal RNA
Source: RNAcentral